RNAcentral lists this small RNA (27 nucleotides) under Arabidopsis thaliana (thale cress). Its description in RNAcentral is "ATSL009270". The record is from RNAcentral. Lineage: Eukaryota; Viridiplantae; Streptophyta; Magnoliopsida; Brassicales; Brassicaceae.
CUUUCCCUUUUUGUUUUCUGUUAUUCU